GACGAACGCUGGCGGCGUGCUUAACACAUGCAAGUCGAACGGGGUCCAACCAGUCGCAAGACUGGCGAAGACCGAGUGGCGAACGGGUGCGUAACACGUGAGGAACCUGUCCCGAUCUCUGGAAUAACGAGUGGAAACAUUCGCUAAUACCGGAUGCCGUCGGACCAUCGCAUGGUGGACUGACGAAAGGGUUACCGGAUUGGGAGGGACUCGCGGCCUAUCAGCUAGUUGGUGAGGUAACGGCUCACCAAGGCGUCGACGGGUAGCUGGUCUGAGAGGAUGAUCAGCCACACUGGGACUGAGACACGGCCCAGACUCCUACGGGUGGCG
RNAcentral lists this ribosomal RNA (330 nucleotides) under uncultured Actinomycetes bacterium. RNAcentral describes it as "bacterial SSU rRNA". It matches the Rfam family "Bacterial small subunit ribosomal RNA", at positions 28 to 350 of the family's 1533-position model. The record is from RNAcentral. Lineage: Bacteria; Bacillati; Actinomycetota; Actinomycetes.